This is a small nuclear RNA of Meriones unguiculatus (Mongolian gerbil), 106 nucleotides long. The record is from Ensembl. NCBI's taxonomy places the organism in Eukaryota, Metazoa, Chordata, Mammalia, Rodentia, Muridae.
GUGCUCACUUUGGCAGCACAAACUCUAAAUUGGGAUGAUACAGAGGUGAUUAGCAUGACCCCUGUGCAAGGAGGACAUACAGGUUUGUGACGUGUUCCAUUUUUUA